GAUAAGGUUAAGUGAAUAAGGGCGCACGGUGGAUGCCUUGGCACUAGGAGCCGAUGAAGGACGGGACUAACACCGAUAUGCUUUGGGGAGCUGUACGUAAGCUAUGAUCCAGAGAUUUCCGAAUGGGGGAACCCAGCAUCUUUAAUAGGAUGUUACGAUUGUGUGAAUACAUAGCACAUGCGAGGUAGACGCAGAGAACU
This 200-nucleotide ribosomal RNA is filed under the name Enterococcus faecium. Its description in RNAcentral is "partial 23S ribosomal RNA". It matches the Rfam family "Bacterial large subunit ribosomal RNA", at positions 1 to 194 of the family's 2925-position model. The record is from RNAcentral. Lineage: Bacteria; Bacillati; Bacillota; Bacilli; Lactobacillales; Enterococcaceae.